This 809-nucleotide non-coding RNA is filed under the name Kentrochrysalis sieversi. The record is from RNAcentral. Lineage: Eukaryota; Metazoa; Arthropoda; Insecta; Lepidoptera; Sphingidae.
AAAAAAAAAAUUCUAUGUCUAAAAUUUAACAAUUAAAUAAAUUUUUUAUGGUUUAAAAAUUUUAUUAUAAGUUUAUUUUACAUAUAAAUUUUAGUGUUAAUUAUUAUUUAUUUAAAUAAUAUUUAAUUUUUAUAGUAGUAAUUAAUUUUAAAAAUUUAAGAAAUUAAGAUUUAGUAAUAUAGAAAUUAAUAACUAAUUUUGUGCCAGCAGUUGCGGUUAUACAAAAAUUAAUUUAAAUUUUUUUAGUAAUUAAUAAUUAAAUUAAAUGAAUAAUUUAAAAAUAAAAUUAUUAAGUGAAAUUUUAAUUUUAUAAAAAAUUAUUUAUAAAUUAUGAUUUAAUAAAUUUAAUAAAAAACUAGGAUUAGAUACCCUAUUAUUAAAAUUUAAAUUAAUAAUACUUAAAUAGUAAAUAAUUUUUAUUGAAACUUAAAUAAUUUGGCGGUAUUUUAGUUUAUUUAGAGGAAUCUGUUUAAUAAUUGAUAAUCCACGAAUAAAUUUACUUAAUUUAAAGUUUUGUAUAUCGUUGUUAAAAAAAUAUUUUUUAAUAAAAAUAAUAUUUUAAAAUUUAAAAUUAAAAUUAAAUCAGAUCAAGAUGCAGAUAAUAAUUAAGAAUAUAAUGGAUUACAAUAAAUUUAUUUAAUUGGAUUUUAAUUUGAAAUAUUUAAUUGAAAUUGGAUUUAAAUGUAAUUUUAUUUAUUUUAAUAAAAUGAUUAAAUAUUAAAAUAUGUACAUAUUGCCCGUCGCUUUCAUUAAUAAAUUGAAAUAAGUCGUAACAAAGUAGAGGUACUGGAAAGUGUUUCUAGAAAGAU